UGGUAUGGUCCACAGUUAUAUCAGUCAGUGC
This 31-nucleotide non-coding RNA is filed under the name Rattus norvegicus (Norway rat). Lineage: Eukaryota; Metazoa; Chordata; Mammalia; Rodentia; Muridae. The record is from RNAcentral.